RNAcentral lists this ribosomal RNA (449 nucleotides) under uncultured bacterium. RNAcentral describes it as "partial 16S ribosomal RNA". It matches the Rfam family "Bacterial small subunit ribosomal RNA", at positions 29 to 523 of the family's 1533-position model. The record is from RNAcentral.
AGUGAACGCUGGCGGCAGGCCUAACACAUGCAAGUCGAACGAACUCUUCGGAGUUAGUGGCGGACGGGUGAGUAACACGUGGGAACGUGCCUUUAGGCUCGGAAUAACUCAGGGAAACUUGUGCUAAUACCGAAUGUGCCCUUCGGGGGAAAGAUUUAUCGCCUUUAGAGCGGCCCGCGUCUGAUUAGCUAGUUGGUGGUGUAAUGGACCACCAAGGCGACGAUCAGUAGCUGGUCUGAGAGGAUGAUCAGCCACAUUGGGACUGAGACACGGCCCAAACUCCUACGGGAGGCAGCAGUGGGGAAUCUUGCGCAAUGGGCGAAAGCCUGACGCAGCCAUGCCGCGUGAAUGAUGAAGGUCUUAGGAUUGUAAAAUUCUUUCACCGGGGACGAUAAUGACGGUACCCGGAGAAGAAGCCCCGGCUAACUUCGUGCCAGCCGCCGCAGUAA